This 794-nucleotide long non-coding RNA is filed under the name Elaeis guineensis (African oil palm). RNAcentral describes it as "long non-coding RNA (EGUI_LNC017884)". Lineage: Eukaryota; Viridiplantae; Streptophyta; Magnoliopsida; Arecales; Arecaceae. The record is from RNAcentral.
CUUUCAAUAUGAUAUAAAUCAUAAAUUUACACCUUAAUAUCAAACCUGCUUUAAUAUCAUAGAUAAUAUCAUUUUCAUAUCAACAAUACAUGUCUCAAAUGUCAUCAUUAAUUUUUAUCAUAUAAUAAUAAAGUACUAUCAAAUAAAAUAGUUUAAAUCUAAGAAAUAAUAUCCAAAUGAAAAUCAAAUCUCCACCAAAUACACGUAAUCCAAAUACUAAGUAUAGUAUAUCCAAAAUCACUCUAAAAUGUCAAAAACAAACUCCAAAAUAAUAUGAAAGUCUCCGUGACAUUGUGACCCAUGAUUCUUCAUCUUCACCUCCAACUCCACAAUCAUUUUCAUCCUACAAAAAUUUGAUAAUAAAUAAUUAUAUUUUAUAAUCAACAAACUACUAUUUUAUUUCUAUUUAGAGAAAUGAAUUAAGCACUAGCUCGUAAUAGAAGUCAUUUUAAAGUAAUACUUUUAUUAGAUAAAAUCAUUAUAAAAGUCACUUACCUUUUAUUGAGAUUGAAAAAAUGACAUCACUACAAGAAAAUAGCUUAUUAGGGACGGCUUAGCCAUUGCUAAUAAGCAUAUUUAUCAAUAAUAUCCUUUUUCUGUCGUAAUAAAUAUAAAUUAUUAUUAGUGACGAUGAUUUUAUUAUGAGCAAUGGCAAGCUGUCGCUAAUAAGUUAAAUUAUUAUUAGCGACGGUUUUAGCAAUGCAAGUUUGUUGUUGCUAAUAAUAAGCCCUAAAAUUCCUCUGGAUCCCCGAUGGGGUCACAGAACCUCCUGUCGCUCCCCUUUCUCCCCCGUC